Molecule: non-coding RNA, 446 nt
Organism: Paramuricea clavata
Lineage: Eukaryota; Metazoa; Cnidaria; Anthozoa; Malacalcyonacea; Plexauridae
Source: the annotation of a GenBank genome assembly
UCAGAAUUUACAAAUGCUAUAUUAUAAAUAUACAUAGAAAACAUUAUUUGCAUCGUACUAGCAUGUGAACGUGAUAGGACAUAAACUUUUGCAUGCAUGGAAAUGGGAACACCUGAUCCCACAUAAGAACGUCACGGACGUGACUAGGGAUGGGUGUCGAUAGAUUAUUAGAUCAUGGAACAUAAUAUCAUAGGAACAUAAUAUCAGUAAACGUGUUUCACUUACGCAAGGGAAAUUUGUGGUACAGAAAAUACAAAAUAUGUAUUCCUGUUCUGUUAGGGGAGGACCAUUACAAAAGUGAUGGUGGGGAAAAAGCAAACAAAAAUCGCGCAGGGGAAACAGAAAGAAAAAAAAUUCGAGCAAGAAAAUUCGUGCAGAGACUUUUCAAUAGGGAAAAUUAUAAGUUGAAAUAAAAAAAAUCCGUGCAAGGGAUUAUAUUUAAAAAA